This 3431-nucleotide long non-coding RNA is filed under the name Solanum tuberosum (potato). Its description in RNAcentral is "long non-coding RNA (STUB_LNC002456)". The record is from RNAcentral. Lineage: Eukaryota; Viridiplantae; Streptophyta; Magnoliopsida; Solanales; Solanaceae.
GAAAUUUAAGGACAUUAUGCCAUGAUUGAGAGAAUCCAGCACGAGCUAGAAGGAAUAGCUCACCCUGAAAUCUGAUGUGCUAAAGACUGGCUAGAGCUAAGGGAGAGUCGAAGUUGCUGGUACACUUGCUGCACUUCACAAAAGAAAAUGAAGAAACCACAAGAAAGGGUCAGCACAAAGAACACGUACUGAGUAGGUUUCAUCAGCCAACCCAAAAUAGAAAUUAAUAUGCAAUGAAUAAUAGUAUAAAAUCAACUAUGACACUUAGCAGGUGGCCAACAACAAACAAUAUGAACAAGUGACAACGAAAGCAAGUACGCAAUCAAUCACAAUAUCACAUAUACGAGGACUCAUGCCUCCACACCAUGCUUAUUUGGGGAAAUGAGUUCUUUGAGAUUGAGUACAUUAACUUAGUUCAAUAUCUUUUCCUUUAAUGUUACUGUGUCGGAGCGUGACACCCCGAUCCAAUAAUACCGUGUCGGAAUGUGAUACCCCGAUCCAAUAAUACCAUGCCGACUCGUUGUAUCCAAUCUAAUAUAUCGUUAAUUUAUCAUUUAUUAUCACCACUUUUCACUUCAUUAACAAUAUUUCAUCAAGACUUCUUUAUUCAAGGCAUCAUUUCGAUAGACAGGGUUUCAAGAUUAUAAAUUUCCACGGUCUCAGGAUUUCAGACUAAUCACAAAACCACACAACCAAGCUACACAACCACACAAUCAAGUACAUAGAGAACUUCACAAUAAUCACCCAAUGCAUAUCAAUCGCUAUUAAGAAUCUAUCUAUCACAUAGAAUAAGUCAUAGCCUACCUCAACCGAAGAACCGAAGUCAAGAGAGCUAAUCUUCCAAUUCUUUCCCUUUCCGCAAUGCCUCCGAAUGUUUCCAAUCUAUCAAUUGUACAUUAUUCGUAAGUAAACGAUUCUAUCGACUCACAUAUUACUAUAUAUAUAUCAAGCCUAUACUCAAUAACUCAUCCCAAUCUAUAGACAAUUUCCUAAAGUUCAAGGCCAAGGGUAAGUCUCAAUUCCUCCAAUUAUCACAACUUAAUGGUAGUCAAUACAAUACACCUAAUAUUUAAUUACUUAUAUUAAUUAUUAUCAAAACAUAAACUUAUAUAUGAUAAUCAUAUUUAGUGAAUUUACACAACCAGUAACCUUGACAGAUCAUUAACCAUACCCCCUAGCCCUUAUACUAUCCUUUUACUAACUUCAAUUAUUACCUUAAUCAUUACUCCAUAACCACACCUGAUCUUAGUCAGCCGUAACAAACAAAACAACAUAUAUUUGCUCGUCAAAUCUGUAGCGUGUGUAAUCCAAUUCUUCCUAAUACUAUACUCUAAUGUAAUUCCCAUAAUAAAAUAUAUCUAUUGUAUAUUAACUAUUUAUAAAUUGAACAUUAUACAUAUGGGAGUACUAAUUACAUUUGUAUAUUAACUAUUUAUAAAUUGAACAUUAUACAUAUGGGAGUACUAAUUACAUUUGUAUAUUAACUAUUUAUAAAUUGAACAUUAUACAUAUGGGAGUACUAAUUACAUUUGUAUAUUAACUAUUUAUAAAUUGAACAUUAUACAUAUGGGAGUACUAAUUACAUUUGUAUAUUAACUAUUUAUAAAUUGAACAUUAUACAUAUGGGAGUACUAAUUACAUUUGUAUAUUAACUAUUUAUAAAUUGAACAUUAUACAUAUGGGAGUACUAAUUACAUUUGUAUAUUAACUAUUUAUAAAUUGAACAUUAUACAUAUGGGAGUACUAAUUACAUUUGUAUAUUAACUAUUUAUAAAUUGAACAUUAUACAUAUGGGAGUACUAAUUACAUUUUCAUAUAUCUAUUUAUAAAUCAGUUACUAACAGAUAUACACCAAAAUUGAUCAAGUACAAUCUCAAAUUAUUUGAGGUCAAUUAUGUCUCAUUCAUACUAAAGUUUUUUCAAUAAUUAUUUUUUUGAAGCAACUUUGGUAUUUUAGCGCGGAAUCUGUUGAUUUAUUUACUUACAUAGAUGUGAUAUAGCUACAAAUACUACUACGACAAUUUAAAUAUUAACUCUGAAGUAACUAAAUUAAAUUAAUUCAAAUAUCACCUCUAAAGUAACCAAAUUAUAUUUUCAUGAACUCAAUGCUUCUCAGAUAAGAAAUUCUUAGAAAUAUGCAACUCCCAUCAUAAAAAUGAAUCAAGCUAUACAAUUUUUCUUAUAAUUAAAAAUUCAAUUCGAUGAAAAAAGAAAUAGGCAAGAAACUGCUUAAGAAGUAAAGAUCAUUUGCACAUAUACUAUCAAUACAUGUAUUUGAUUGGACAUGUGCAUUUGAGCACACCAACAAUUUCACUUCUUGAAUUAAAUAAUGACAAAAUAUCUGUCUACAUUACACAUGAAUUCAAUUCCUCCAGAUUCUUCGAAAGAAGAGGAGGCCAACAAAAUACCCCGUGAAUGAGAAAGAUAAAAUGUAAGCAGACCUUACUACUAACUCGUGAAAUAAAAAAUUGUGUCAUAUUUGUGGAAGUAUAAGUCUCACAUCAAAGGGCAUCUCUAGAUUGGAGUCUCUAAAAUGUACCAAAAGUUUUAAUAAUUGUUACCCCUUAAACAUAAUAAUGACAAACUUCAAUUAAGUUUAGAAGCAUGAAUAAAGUUGGUUCAUGGGUUACUGCAUUAUAUUCUUAAAAAUGCAUCCAUGUUAAUUUCUCUCUUUUCCUUUGUCAGUGAGAUAAUAUUUUAAAAAUGAAAUCAUUUUUUUAAAUAUAGAUAACAUAAAACGAAAUCAUUCUUCAUUGGUGUCUUCUCUAUAGUUUCUAAUUGUUGGCUAUUCGAUCAUCCAACAAAGCUUCCUAUACUUAUAUAGGAAGACACAUUAGAAAAUAUUCUAUACCAUAUAAUACACACAAAUAAAGCUUGUAAACAAUCCUUAAAAUAAAUAUAUAGUGACGGUAAACCUUAGAAAAGGAUCCGCAAUUGUGCUCGGACUAAAGAAAAGAGGGCUUAUCCACAAUUCUCUUCUGGCACGAAACUACGCAGCUAUACCUGGACACCAAUAUCAGCAAAAGAGAAAAUACUUAAGCAUAUAAUAAGCUAACAUCAAGGAUUUGAAGAACCAAAAUUGUAUCAUAUUGCUCUUCACCAAACAUGGAUAAAUAUUUGCCGCUUAUGCUUUAUUAGCUCUCUUACUCUUAUAUGUCGUGUGUUUCAAAUUAGAAUUUUCAACAGUAUAGUUGAUUUAAUUCGUAACCCAUAAGCUUUGAACCGUUAGGAGAAGAAGAGAUUUGAGGGAGAUGAUCCAUCAUUUUGGCUCUAAGGCCUUAGCAAUUGUUAAUAAUAAAUAAUCUGGAAGUGGAGGAAAAAGAUCUAGAACGCUCUGGAAUGGAAAGAAAAAGUAUUGUGGUUUGCUAAAAUAUCAAUCAUGCAUAAUUACUAUUCUGCCCUUCAAUCAUAUUAGAUUUCGAUUUUUGAAA